This 753-nucleotide ribosomal RNA is filed under the name uncultured Eubacteriales bacterium. RNAcentral's name for it is "bacterial SSU rRNA". It matches the Rfam family "Bacterial small subunit ribosomal RNA", at positions 12 to 775 of the family's 1533-position model. Lineage: Bacteria; Bacillati; Bacillota; Clostridia; Eubacteriales. The record is from RNAcentral.
UUUGAUCCUGGCUCAGGACGAACGCUGGCGGCACGCUUAACACAUGCAAGUCGAACGAGAGAAGAGAAGCUUGCUUUUCUGAUCUAGUGGCGGACGGGUGAGUAACACGUGAGCAAUCUGCCUUUCAGAGGGGGAUACCGAUUGGAAACGAUCGUUAAUACCGCAUAACAUAAUUGAACCGCAUGAUUUGAUUAUCAAAGAUUUAUCGCUGAAAGAUGAGCUCGCGUCUGAUUAGCUAGUUGGUAAGGUAACGGCUUACCAAGGCGACGAUCAGUAGCCGGACUGAGAGGUUGAUCGGCCACAUUGGGACUGAGACACGGCCCAGACUCCUACGGGAGGCAGCAGUGGGGAAUAUUGCACAAUGGAGGAAACUCUGAUGCAGCGAUGCCGCGUGAGGGAAGAAGGUUUUAGGAUUGUAAACCUCUGUCUUUGGGGACGAAAAAUGACGGUACCCAAGGAGGAAGCUCCGGCUAACUACGUGCCAGCAGCCGCGGUAAUACGUAGGGAGCGAGCGUUGUCCGGAAUUACUGGGUGUAAAGGGAGCGUAGGCGGGAUCGCAAGUCAGAUGUGAAAACUAUGGGCUUAACCCAUAAACUGCAUUUGAAACUGUGGUUCUUGAGUGAAGUAGAGGUAAGCGGAAUUCCCUAGUGUAGCGGUGAAAUGCGUAGAUAUUAGGAGGAACAUCAGUGGCCGAAGGCGGCUUACUGGGCUUUUAACUGACGCUGAGGCUCGAAAGCGUGGGGGAGCAAACAA